UUGACAAGCCUUGAGAGUGAGGUUCUCUGUUCAUAGCACAGGUUCAGYGUGGGCAGCAGCAGGGGUUGUUUCUCAUGUUGCCCUGCCAGUGUUUCUCAAACCUGACCUCAAGAGGCUGCUCCUGAGACUGAGGAGUUCAGCCAUCAGUCCAGUCUAGUCCUUGCUGUC
Apteryx haastii (Great spotted kiwi) is the source of this 168-nucleotide unclassified non-coding RNA. Lineage: Eukaryota; Metazoa; Chordata; Aves; Apterygiformes; Apterygidae. The record is from Ensembl.